UAAUAACCAAAUUGAAGCACCAGGACCUAGCUGAAAGACAAAUUAGUUUAUAAAAUGUGGAAUAUAUGUGGACAGAACAUAUAUCUGCUGGUGUUGGGUGAGAAUAACACCUGCCAGCUUGAGGUUUUCUAGACUUGGUCUGAAAAUCAUCAAUCAUUUGCCAUCUACUCCGACCAAAAAAUUAUUUUCCCUCAUCUACACCUCUCCAAAUGCCGCACAACAAGAGUCGAUCACACUGUGUGAAAAUUAGACUUUAUUUUUGUGGAAACUCAUGUAUCAUAUAAAGAAGUUUGUUGGCAGAUCCAAAAAUAUUCUCAGUGAUAGUUACAAUAAAAGAUUUGUUGUUGAUAUUGGCUUGGAUAAUUCUGUAGUAUGGCACAACGAUUUGGAUUACCUAGAUACAUAGUAAAAAAUAAGUCUAGAAAAGCGAAAGCAUCCUAUCGGAAUAGAGGGAUUAGUUAUUAAGGUCUGGUUGUGCAUUAUUAAAAGUAGAUAAAUAAAAACGUCAACGGACAAGCAACAAAAAAGAUCAGAUAAAAUCUAUAGGAGCUGCCAAAAAGGAUCAGUGUUGUACACACCCUGAAAUGGGAGGUGUUGUGCAAACGAAUCACCUUUUUAUCUCAUCCAUAGACACAACUGUGCAGCGCCCCGGCCCACCCAAUAAUCCACCUAUGGCCAUGGCGCGCUGUUGAGGAAGGUUCACUAUCAACAGUUUGCUGUUAGUGAACCUCAUCUUCAAAUUCCAAAAAUAUUGUAAUCUAAUGAGAAAUUUAAGUUAAUGAAUGAGGAUUGGCUCAUUAUAGAACCAUGUAGUUAGGAGUACAAUAACAAUUCUAGUUCCAAAUUAACUGCUUGAAACAUUCAGUUACUGUGGACACCAAUAAGCUAUACAAGAAUAAAUGUUAACCUAGAAGGCCAAAUAAAAUACACAUUUUUACGGUUUACUACAUUAUUAUCCAGGUGCAUCAGAGGUAUUGGCUCUCAUGGAGUUCUCAAGAAUACUACGUGGAUAUCACAACUGCACUCCACCAAUAAUAUAAUUAACGAGUUUGCAUUGGCACUAUUUCUCAAGAUAGAUAUCUUCGAAAAUCCAUAUAUUCAGAGAUCGCAUCAUCCACUAUCCCCCAAGCAUAUGCACCUAUUAAUAUUAUCAAUAAUAACUGUAAUUUUAGAAUGUAUGAGGUGAAUGCAGGGGGCUUGCAACUUAACAACAGCAGAUAUUACAAUCUGGAAUGCAUGCAUGGUGGACACUCAGAUAUAUAUGCCGCUUAAUUGGCCAGUCAGCAGAACAAAGAUGAGGGCAGCGUGAGAGCGACCUCCCAAAGCAAGAAAUCAUUACCUGAGUAAUAUCUGGAGGAGACCUCAUUAUGAAAGCCUAUAGCACUUUUAAUCUUUUCGAAUCCGACAGGAGGUACUUCAUCUGAUUAUG
Molecule: long non-coding RNA, 1429 nt
Filed under: Zea mays
Lineage: Eukaryota; Viridiplantae; Streptophyta; Magnoliopsida; Poales; Poaceae
Description: long non-coding RNA (ZMAY_LNC002101)
Source: RNAcentral